RNAcentral lists this non-coding RNA (27 nucleotides) under Cricetulus griseus (Chinese hamster). Lineage: Eukaryota; Metazoa; Chordata; Mammalia; Rodentia; Cricetidae. The record is from RNAcentral.
UUUCCAGAGUGUUUUCUCAGUGAUCGG